This 1007-nucleotide small RNA is filed under the name Arabidopsis thaliana (thale cress). RNAcentral's name for it is "ATSL026390". The record is from RNAcentral. Lineage: Eukaryota; Viridiplantae; Streptophyta; Magnoliopsida; Brassicales; Brassicaceae.
AAAUUCAACAACAAAACAUAGAGAAUCUUUCGAUUGAAAAACUCAAUUGAUUAAGGUAUUGUUCGUUUGAUCAGUUGACUGAUUCAUCUAGGUGCAGAUGACAACUGAUGUUUGUUUGGACACAAUUUGGUAGAACAGUUGGAUGCAUCAGUUAGCUGAGUUUAUUAAACUCAUCCAAAAAAUUCAAAAAUUUCAGCUGAGUUUGAUCGGUGCAUUGAGAUGCAUCAGCUGCAGUCAAAAACAGCAAAUGACUAAAAUACACCUUUAAAAAUUGAAGAACUACAAAAAGCCAUUUCUUACCCUACGGUUCUCGACAAUUCUGGACAAAGAAGAAAAAGAGAUCUUUAGGAUUCUUCACUUCCCUUUAUCUCUCACUCUUCGAUCUGCUUCUCCAUUAGCGUUAGCUCUCGAUCUUCUUUUCCAUUAGCGCUAGCUCGGUUCUAGGUAUACAUAUCUCUCUCUUUAUUUUUGAUUCUUACUUGUAAUAUAUUUCGGGGUUUAAUACUAGAGAAUUGUUUAACCGCAAGCACUCUGAUUUGCGUUCGAUAAUUGAGCGAACAUUUGGAGUCUGGAAGGCUAAGUGGAGGAUAUUGGAUCGCAAACACCCUUAAUAUGAGUUGAAAAAGUGGGUGAAACUUGUGACAACAACUAUGACUCUCCAUAAUGUUAUCAGAGAUUCAUGUCAAGAGGAUGCAGAUUUUGUACAUUGAGAAGCAGUGGAAGAAUAUGAACAUCAUGAUGAUGAAGUAGUAGAGAAUGAUGAAGUAGAAGACAAUGUUCCAAACACAGAUCAUGUACUGUACGUACCGGUUGGUGAUAGAGUGAUGAAAGAUGUACGUGAUUCUAUCACCGAAAAGAUAGUUAGAAGAUAUCGACUUUUAUAUUAGUGGUUAUUGUAGACAAAAAAAUAUUGUGUUUACAAUGAUGUAUUUCUGUUUUAUAUUCCUCAUUGUUUUUUUAUGUGCCUUCUUUUAACUUUAAUUAAUGAAUAUUUUUGAACAAAACUA